UACGUAGGGUGCGAGCGUUAAUCGGAAUUACUGGGCGUAAGGCGUGCGCAGGCGGUCUGUUAAGACCGAUGUGAAAUCCCCGGGCUUAACCUGGGAACUGCAUUGGUGACUGGCAGGCUUUGAGUGUGGCAGAGGGAGGUAGAAUUCCACGUGUAGCAGUGAAAUGCGUAGAGAUGUGGAGGAAUACCGAUGGCGAAGGCAGCCUCCUGGGCCAACACUGACGCUCAUGCACGAAAGCGUGGGGAGCAAACAGG
Molecule: ribosomal RNA, 254 nt
Filed under: uncultured bacterium
Lineage: Bacteria
Description: partial 16S ribosomal RNA
Rfam family: Bacterial small subunit ribosomal RNA
Source: RNAcentral